Molecule: long non-coding RNA, 1330 nt
Filed under: Marmota monax (woodchuck)
Lineage: Eukaryota; Metazoa; Chordata; Mammalia; Rodentia; Sciuridae
Source: RNAcentral
GGUUACAGGAUUUCUGCUGAUCUCAGGCGGCUCGCCUCCCAGCCUGGGUCCCAACAACAAUUCCUCUGUUUUUAAUUAAAAGACCUUUGCUGUACAUGCUGCGUGGAGGGACACAAGAGGUCUCUGAAAUUAAUUACCAGUUUGGUCAGGUUUGACUCAUGAGGAUAGAGAAGUUUAUGAGUAAGUGUGGCAAUGGCACAGCCCCCUUCCACCUCAACUUCGAAACCAGCAGUUAUUUCAAGAGGGAAAAACGGUGCGAUCUCUAUGUCGCCCACGUCGGAAUCCCAGGAAAGUUCUCCUUAGAAAUGAACAAGAACGUCAGGCCCCCAGCCCACAUUCUUAGAAGGAUCCUUAGGGGAGGGGCCUAGAAAUCCAGCCUUCAAUCCCCCAGUAGGUAAACGUGGAAACCACCAUCUCAGUUUUGCAAAUACUUUAUUUAUUUAUUUUUAUAAUCGACUCCCUCUUUCGUGGGUCUCCAUUCUAACUGCUUGCAGAAAACAUUCUCUUAUUCAUUUCCAGGUGAAUUCGGUCAUCCUACCUCAUUCCUCCCGCCCCCCCCCCACCGAUCUAAUUUUGGAGUUUUUUGGCACCACAGCCUAGGUCGGGUGUGUUGGGGAGGGGUUGUGCAGUGAGUCCUCACUCUGAGGUCAGUCCUCCUGGGUUCCCCAUCUCCAUGGCUCAUAUGUGCUCUCAUUUCUACUCUGCUGCUGCUGCUUCCCCCCUACCAUCCACAUUGCAAAAGCAAUAUAUUAGCUUUCUAAGCCACAAACAAUGGGCUCUCCCCAAAUUUAUGUGGGCUUCUGUCUUCCAUAUCCCCUGUACUUGGCCAGAGAAAAUGGGGAUCACCCCAUUUCCUUGAACUAGUAUUCAACAUUAUGCCAGGUCCUGCACUAGGCUGUCCCCAGCUAGUGCAGGGUGUUGGGGAGGGUAGAGGGUUCUGCCUGUUUGUACCUACCUACUCCUAACUCUCCCUGUCUUAUACCCACACUUUGAAGCUUUUGAACUUGAAAAUCUAGAAUUUGGCAUCUUUAUUCUCUGACUAGAAAGGAAAGUGGUCUCAGGGACAAAAAAAAAAAAAAAAGCCAGUUUUUUACAGCAAGAUCUGAGACCCCAUGGAAGAUGCUCCUUUCUUUCUUUCACAUAAGCUGAGACAGCCCAAAAUUAUGUCAGUGCAAAAGGACCACGGACAUGGCUGCUCCUGGGAGGCGGAAGGAGCAGACAGCAUUUUAGAUUUGGCUGAGCCCCGGCACCCAGCACAUACAUUAGCUGCUCACUCACCUCCCCCAGACAGCUGGGAAAUGACACCUCUGGUGACAGAGCCAGUCCCUGG